This is a long non-coding RNA of Neofelis nebulosa (Clouded leopard), 3928 nucleotides long. RefSeq lists it as uncharacterized. The transcript is spliced from 2 exons. NCBI's taxonomy places the organism in Eukaryota, Metazoa, Chordata, Mammalia, Carnivora, Felidae. The record is from RefSeq and is a predicted model, not a curated record.
UUCCUUCUCAAGUUUUAAUUUUUCGGGCUGUGACCCUCCAGACUUUGUAGUGGUUAAAAGGAAGAAUCCUGGACGCUGCGCAAGGGAGACCUUCUGGGACUCCCUAAGGGUGAAGCGUGGAAGUGUGAACACCUGGAAGUUUCAGAAGCACCGUCAGGCCACACCUCCCGGAUCACCUACUAACGAUCUGCAAGGUGCAAUUGUUAAAAAGGAAGAAAAAAUUUCUCCUUGUGAUGAGAAUUCUUCCGAGUCACUUUCUUCACCGCUUUCCCAUACACCAUACAGCAGCGUUAGCUCUGGCCGUCACCUUGUACAUCACAUCCCUGGUGCUCAAUUAUUUUAUAACUGGAAGUUUGUACCUUGUGGCCACCUUCCUCUAAUUCCCCACUCCCGGCCCCACCCGCUCUGGUGACAAGUCUGAUCUCUUUUUCUAUGAGGUUUUUGUUUGGUGGUUGGGUUGGUUGGGUUUUUUGUUGUUGUUGUUGUUGUUGUUGUUGUUAAUUUUUUUAAUGUUUAUUUAUUUUUGAGACAGAGACAGAGCAUGAACGGGGGAGGGGCAGAGGGAGGGAGACACAGAAUCUGAAACAGGCUCCAGGCUCCGAGCUGUCAGCACAGAGCCCGACGCGGGGCUCGAACCCACAAACCGCGAGAUCAUGACCUGAGCCGAAGUCGGCCAGUCAACCGACUGAGCCACCCAGGUGCCCCUGGUUGGCUGGUUUUUUAAGAUUCUACAUAUAGUGAAAUCAUACAAUAUUUGCCUUUGAGCAUAAUGCCCUCGAGGCACACCCAUGUUGUCAUAAAUGGGAGGAUUUCCUGUCUUUUUCUUUUUAAGUUCAUUUUUAUUUUGAGAGAGACAGCAGGGGAGGGGCAGAAAGAGAGAGAAAGAGAGAAAAUCCCAAGAACCCCACUGUCAGCACAGAGCCCAACAUGGGGCUUGAUCCAUGAACCAUGAGAUCAUGACCUGAGUAGAAAUCAAGAGUCAGAAGCUUAUCUGACUGAGCCACCCAGGUACCCCAGGAUUUCCUGGGGUAUUUUUAUGGCUAAAGAAUAUUCUAUUAUAUACACACAUACAGAGCCCAGCACAGUGGAGACACUCUAAAUAUUAAAUACCUGAGAUCAAUGGAAUGAAAUAGAAUAGAAGGUCCUUAUCACAUACAUCUUGCCAAGUUUGCUUUCCAGCAUUCAUUUUUCCUGUCUCCAGUUACCAGCAUCACCAUUUUUUUCAUCACUCCUCACUGACUUUUAGUCCUAAAUGUCUAUAGCGAUCCGAAUGGUGACCAUCCCCUCCCAAAAGCUAUUUCCAUGGCCUAAUCCCCGAACCUGUGAACAUGACCUUUAGAGGGCAAAAGAUGUGAUUAAACUAAAGAUCUUGAGGGACUUGUCCUGGAUUAUCCAGGUGGGUUGGAAACACAAUCAUAAAUGUCCAUAGGAGAGAAGGGCAGAGAGGGUCUUAGACGGAGAGGGGAAGAAGCCAUGUGAUCACAGAGGCAGUGUGACCACUGGAGUGAUGCACCGACAAGCCAAGGAAGGCCGGGAGUCACCAGAAGCUGGAAGGGGCAAGAAACAGAUAGUCUCCUAGCAGCUUUGGACAGAGCCCAGCCCUAUCCCCACUGCCAUGAGACAAUAAAACUUGUGCUGUUUUAAGCCACCCAGUUUGGAUGAUUUGUUACGGCAACCACAGGAAAACUAACACAAUCCUGGAGUCCGCGGGUUCACAGAUAGGCACAUGACCCAGCUACCUCAGCGAGACUCCAUUUGGCACUCACCGCACCCACUGGGAAAGAGAAGCUCUGUUUCCUACUAAGGCAGCCCAUCCUGGGAGAAUAUAACCCUAGAGCCGAGGGUCACAGUGUGGAGACAUUAGCCUGAUAUUCUGAGAAAGACAGAUAGACACCUAGUGUUGAUGUCAUUUGAUCUUCUGGAUCCAGCUGUAUCUGAAACCAGGGCUAUCCUGGAUUUUCGGUUAUAUCAGCCAAUUAAUUUCCCAUUUGACUUAAGCCAGUUAGCACUGGGUUUCUGUCGCAAGCAGAGCCAAAGAAUUCUGACUUAUAGGCCUUUUGUUACUGGUGUAGGGUUCUGAGUUACAUGUGAGCUUCAACAAGUUGGCAUAAGUAUUUCCAAAUAUUGCAUGGGUCAGAUAACUAAAAAAAAAAACAAAAAACAUUAUUUGUUACUUAUCUGCAGUUCAAAGUUACCUGGGCAACCUGGAUGCUUAGUUUUUGGCUUUUGCUAAGGCAAUCCUGUGUCAGAAGAAGUUUUUUUAUUGAUCAUCGGAAACUUUUGGAAAGCCAGGUUGUUAUAGCACAAAAGGUAAGAAUAAUCUUUCUAAAGUAGAUGCUUCUUCUAAUUUUAGACAUUCAUAUAACUAUCUUUGGGGCACCUGGGUGGCUCAGUCAGUUAAGCGUCCAACUCUUUAUUUCGGCUCAGGUCAUGAUCUCAUGGUUUGUGAGUUGGAGCCUCAUUGGGCUCUGCACUGACAGUUCGAUAUUCUCAGGAAAAUCGAGGGUUCUCUCUCCCUUUCUCUCUGCCCCUCCCCUAUGCGUGCGCUCUGUCUCUCUCUCUCUCUCUCUCUCUCAAAAUAAAUAAACUUAAAAACACACACACAGAUAACUGUCUUCAGUGUCCUGUAUUAACCGGGGUUGUAAAACAGUGUAAUUAUACACUCAUGGUGUUUUGAACCUUAAUGUGUUUUGAAGUUGAGAAAGACAGACUCAGUUUUUAAAGGUCUCCUACCACUGACCAAAGCAGUAAAAAGGUGCCUUUGUGUGUUGUGAAACCUACAAUUUCCUUUAAAACUGAUGCCCUUACAGAGCUGUGUUCACAGUUGCUUCUGGCUGUGUGACAUACAUGUUACGGAAUGGUCCAGAAGCAAAGGAUUAUGAAGGACCCAGCUGGAGGCAGGGGAGUGGGCAGUGCAAUGCCUAUCAGCUUCCUUGAGCAGAGAAGAAAAAGGCCAAGCUGAGGGUAUCCAGAAAUCUGGGGACCAACCUGAAGACGUGAUGUUUUGCAUAUACAAGGUGAUGCCAUAGCCCAGGAUAAGUCCUGUGUUUUGUGCCAAAAUGAAGUUGUUCUAGAAAAGGUGGAUCUCCUGCUUUACGUCUCUUUUGUUCUCAAAAUACGUUCCCUCAGCCUCUUCAGAAAAGACUUCUGAAGCGGGUUGGUUCUUUGACCUUGAGACUUAGGAAUACAGAAUGACAGAUUCACAGUUUCACUUUGCAGCAAUAUUAAGAAUACUUGAAAAUGUACAAACUUAAGUUCCCUGGCUCAUGGCUUUCCUAUUAGAGCUGACUUUCCAGUGAUGUUUGGAAAAAAAAAAAAAAAAAAAAAAGAGGCUAUUUCUUGAAAGUACAGUUUGAAAGGUCUAUUGUAUUUCAGUGGUUUCCAUGCUUUGUUUUGAUGUGUAUUCUUUUUUCAUACAAGUAUGUACUUAAAGUGCUGUGGGAUAGAGCACACGUACCUGGCUCCCUCUCCUAGUUUGAUUUAUGUGCCCACUGACUUACUGUCUUACCCAGUCUGGCAAGUUCCCCACACCUAGCAAGAUCUUCCAACAACCUGACUGAAGAACCACUGUGUCCACUCAGAGUAACCCAGAGGUCACACCCUUAUGGUUACUGGAUGGGUCGUUCCACUGUGUCUACCCAGAGUGAGGUUACACCCUUAUGGUUACUGGAUGGGUCAUGCCAGGUAUUAGUCAUGGGAAAAGAGUUUUAAACUGAAACGUAUCUGACAUUUAACAUCGUGUAGUUUUAAGGUGUACAACAUGUGAGUUCGAUUACACUUAUAUGAUGUAAUAUGAUUGCCAUUGUAGCGAUAAUCAGCACCUCUGUCAGGCCACAUAAAUUAUCUUUUCUUUUUUUAGUGGUUGGAAUAAUUAAGUUCCAGUCUCUUGGCAAGUUCGAAGACUGUAAUACAAUAUUGUGGUCUAUAA